UGAAUUUUAUAUUUUGUAAUAUAUCACAAAUUCAAAUUUGAACCAUAUAAAUGCUCUAUUAAUGUAGAGAGAGAAGGAGAAAGAUGGUUAAGGAUAGUGGGGAAGUGUAGGGUAUUUUUGAAAUAAAAGAAAAUAGUGGGGAGGUGUAAAAUAAUUUUGAAAUAAAUUAAAAUAGUGGGGAGGUGCAGAACCCACUUUGGGAGGUGGAGGGAGCAACACCCUUAGUAAGAUGUCAAGAAAUCCUGAGGCCCAUCUCUUUUGUUGGGCCAAAUGGCUUAUUAUGUCUUGAGGGGAGCAACCUAAAAAGCCCAUUGGGAUUGAUGCAUAACCUUCUGAUCUCCAACCUCUUCUGUGUAUAGGGCGUUGAUCCCUGCACCUCUACGUAUUUGACCCUCCACCUCCCCAUAUUUUUUAAUUUUUUUAUAUUACCAAAAUAAUCUUUUUUAAUUUGUUAUUUACUUUUUUUAACCUCUUUUAUUUAGCUAACCCUAGAUUUUUUACUUUCUUCUUUUCAAUUUCACUUUCUCCCUCACGGUAACACUGCACCCCCACCUCCAAACUUCACCAUUUUCCCUUUUCACUAUCCUUUUCACUUUUUUUAACUCCCAACUUGCAAUCCUCUUUGUUUGUGCAUUUCGGUGGUGCAACUUUUGGUGUGUGCGACCUGUGUGAACGGUGGUGAGAAUUUCAUAAUUAGGAAUUUUUCCUUUUACCUUUAUGAUUCAUCUUUCAAUUAAAGUCACCUUGUUAAGAAAGUGAAGAGAAUCUAUCAUAUCAUAUUAUUAAGAAAGUGAAUUUUAAAAUAAGGUUUACACUUAUAUUAUAAAUGAAUUUUAUCUCUAAUUAAUAAAUGAAGAGAAUCUAUGUCAUAUCGAAGUGAAUUUUAAAAUAAAGUUUACACUCAUUUAUAAAUUUUAAAUGAAUUUUAUCUCUAGUUAAUGUAAGACUUCUAUUAUAUUUUAAUAUUAUAAUUUUAUUUAAAAAAGAAAUUUCAAUUUUUUAUCACUAAUUCAAAGAAGAAAAAAAUACCACUUCC
This 1036-nucleotide long non-coding RNA is filed under the name Vigna radiata. RNAcentral describes it as "long non-coding RNA (VRAD_LNC014284)". The record is from RNAcentral. Lineage: Eukaryota; Viridiplantae; Streptophyta; Magnoliopsida; Fabales; Fabaceae.